This is a non-coding RNA of Aspergillus carlsbadensis, 109 nucleotides long. NCBI's taxonomy places the organism in Eukaryota, Fungi, Ascomycota, Eurotiomycetes, Eurotiales, Aspergillaceae. The record is from the annotation of a GenBank genome assembly.
AGUCCUAUGGUCUAAUGGUUAUGACGCUCCGCUCACAUGACCUCACGUGAUUUAUCAUGUGAUACAUGUAGCUCCGUAGAGGUUCCCGGUUCGAUCCCGGGUGGGACUA